CGAUGCCUGUGGAAAAGGGAAAGGAGGAUGAACCCGUGGGCAUGGAGCAGGGCGAACUGGACGAGCGCCAUGGAACUCCUGGACGUCACAAGACGGGACCCAGGACUGCUCAUCCGAACCAUAACCCACCCAGUCCACCAGGUACCACAACCCACCACCCCGGCACCGGGAAUCCAAAAUGGCUGCCACAACAUGGACCAGAUCCCCAUCCACCACCAGCGGAGGAGCUGCCAUUAGGGGCGCCACAGGGGGAUGCAGAGGGCUGUACUAAAAACCAAGGACACACUGAAAGGGCGUUGAGACGGAGAGAGGAAUUGAUAAUGGAAUUCUGGGCAUAGUCUGCCCAAGCGAGGUUGCGGCUCCAGUCGUGAGGUUGGCGAGAGCACUGCUGACAGAGACACUUCCCAAUCUCCUGAUUCAGGUGCUCCGUCUGUCCGUUGGUCUCCAGAUGGUACACCGUGGAGAGACUGAUGGACACACCUGGCUGUUCACAAAAGGCCUGCCAAACCCUUGAGGUUAAUUGGGACCAUCGUUCUGACACAUUCUCUGGUAUGCCAAACUGCCGGAACACCUGCUGAAACACACAUUCCGCCAUUUCCAUCGCUGUGGGCAGGUGGGGAAGAGGGAUUAAUCGACACAUUUUGGAGUGAACCCAGAGGACUCAGGUAAGUCAGUGAUGAAAUCUAUCGUCAGGUGAGACCAGGGCUAAUAUGUUGUGGGUAAGGGUUCUAGCUUACCUGUGGGCAGCUGACAUGGUUUCUUCUAACAGGCGCAGGUGGGACAGGAUAGGACGUAGUCCCAAAUGUCGUCGGCCAACGAGGACCACCAGUGUUGCCUUCUGAAAAUUUUCGUGGUGCCUGUAAUCCCGGGAUGUCCAGACCCGAAGGACGUAUGGCACCACUGCAUAAGCUGAGCGCGAACCGAAGUAGGAACAUAGGUCUUACCCAGGGGUGUGUCCGGUGGUGCUGGGUCUGAUCAUUGGAUGGUGGCCUGGAUGUCCCAUCGCACUGAUAGAGGAGGAUGGGAGGAUAGGGUCUGGAGCGGGAUGAAAGGUUGGUGGGUCAAACUGUCAAGACAAUGCAUCGGCCUUGACAUUACGUUUACCUGGUAUGUAGGUGAUGGUAAAUCAAUUACGUUUGGGCCAAUUACGCACCAAAGUUACCUUGGUCAUCCAUCCCUAAUCCUCCAGGGGUCAACACGGAUCCGAGGAACCACACUAUGGUGACAUGGAACUCGCUUUUCUCCCACUUGACCUACAGGUGAUGGGUGUGGAGCCAAUGCAGGACCUGGCUCACGUGCAAGAUGUGUUCCUGGAGAGAGUCAAAAUAGAUCAGGAUAUCAUCUAUAUAGACAAUGCCAAAGUGGUUGAUUAUGUCGACGAAGAGGUUGUUUAUAAACGACUGAAACACAGCAGGUGCGUUCUUGAGCACAUAUGGCAUCAGCAGGUACUCAUAGUGACCCCUGGGGGUGAUGAAAGUGGUUUUACAUUCAUCCCCCUCCUGUAUCCGGAUCAGGUUGUAUGUGCCUCAUAGGUCCAGUUUGGUGUAUAUGGAGGCUCUACCCACCUGUUCCAGGGCGGCUGGGAUUAUAGGCAGUGGGUACCGGUUCUUGAUAGUCAGAUAGUCCAGAGAGCGGGUUAAUCGAUGCAGGACCGGAGACCACCGUCCUUCUUUCCAACGAAAAAAAAGCUGGAUGUGGCUUGAGACGUGCAUUUCCUCUAGCAUUUCAUCUAUGUGGUGAUUCAUGGCCUUUUGUUCAGGGAUGGACAGAGGAUAGAUUCAACUCUUAGGUGGUGCCAGCCCCAGGAGGAUGUAUAUCACGCAGUCAUAGGGCCGAUGAGGGGUAGAACAGAAGCCUUAGCCUUCGAAAACAUAUCCCAGUACUGAUUAUACACCGCAGAGAUGGGACUGGUGACGGUGAAUGCCAAGUCCUCUAUAGAAAAGGCACAACACAUCGCCUGGAAACAGGAAGGGUACCACUCCGUGAGGUGAGUGACCAGGCCAGUGCUGAGGGGUUGUCCAUCCAGCGAAUUAAUCCUAAAGGGAGGUUGGACAGGGAUUAAUGUGACACCCAAUAGACGUACGAGCUGGACAUCAAUGAAACUGACUGCAGCCCCCGAGUCCAUGAGAGCUGCUAGUUGUCUAGUCUGGACCCGGUUCCGGAGGGUAGCCGGAACGCUUAUUUGACAGUUAGAAAUGUUUAGGAGAACAGAAGCAUCCACCCUGACCGCUGAGGAGGAAGCAUGGUCCGGCGGUCUGGAGGGACAAACUGGGCAGUGGCGAACGACAUGGUCCCCUUCUCCGCAAUACAGGCACAACCGCCCCAAAACCGUUGUUCGCUUUCGGUGGCUGAGAGGGGAGCACACCCCGGCUGCAUGGGUUCCGGACCUCUGGGAGGCGAGGUAACAGGUGGCACCCCAGUGCACGCCGGGUCCACGGAGGACCACACCAGUCGGCGGUCCACCAACAAACAGUCAAUGGCGAUAGACGCCUGUAUGUAUCGGUCGAGAUCAGUGAUGUCCCGUCUGCACGCUAGCUCCGCCUGCAAUUUCCAUUUCAGCCCUUGGCAAUACCCGGGGGAGUAAAGCAGGUUUGCUCCAUCCACUUCCUGCUGCCAGAGUGCGGAACCCUAGUGCAUACUCCGUUGCAGGGCGACGCCCUUGUUUGAUGUUGUACAUCUCAUCCCCGGUGGUACGCCCAGAGGCGGAAUGAUCGAACAUCUCCUUGAACAGCUCAUGAAACCAGGAUUCGGAGGCUAGCUCAGGACUGCGUGCGUUCCACAGAGCGGUGGCCCACUCCAGCACCUUGCCAAAAACCCGACUUCAGCUCAAACCCUGCAACCUGCAAAUUUCCAACCCCGGAAUACAAACUUCCCUACUUCGACUGUUGCACCCGCGGAUAGCUCUGUGUUGUUCUCCUGUGGAGGUCAACAGUGUCCAGCAGGUCAGGAUUGUUCAUCUGCCAACACCUGCUAUGACCCUUGUCAGAGCUACACAUCUCUAAAUGACUCCUGGCGCUCCACCAAUAAUACCGACCAAUCCAACGUACACUGUGACCAGAAUCUGCAGUGGCAGGGCUGGUACCGGAUGUUCCUAGAGG
Esox lucius (northern pike) is the source of this 3098-nucleotide long non-coding RNA. The record is from Ensembl. NCBI's taxonomy places the organism in Eukaryota, Metazoa, Chordata, Actinopteri, Esociformes, Esocidae.